UUUGAACAUCGACAUUUCGAACGCACAUUGCGGUCCGUGGAGAAACAUCCAGGACCACUCCUGUCUGAGGGCCG
RNAcentral lists this ribosomal RNA (74 nucleotides) under Agriades optilete yukona. Its description in RNAcentral is "partial 5.8S ribosomal RNA". RNAcentral also lists the same sequence under 1 other name. The record is from RNAcentral. Lineage: Eukaryota; Metazoa; Arthropoda; Insecta; Lepidoptera; Lycaenidae.